CGCGCGCCCGGCCCGCACCUGCCUAGUCGGCCUGAGACGCUCCUGGCAUGAGCGCGCCGGGGGCGGCGGCGACGCGGGCUCGGGCUGGGCGCUUUCCGCCCGAGGACAGAGACCAUCCCAGAACCAUCACCCGACGUGCCUUCGAGCGAACACCGGACGGAAGGGUCGCACCUGCGUCCCGAACGUUCCCUUCGUCCUCUAACUCACGUUCAAAGGAGCAAAGCAGGGCCUCGGAUAGUUUCCUUUCCUGAACCAAGCCUGUGCCUCACAGAACCUUCUCCUCCUGGCCCAGGCUCUGCCUUGUUCCUGCUGUUGCGCCUUCGGUGCUUUGUCCCUUACAAAGCGAAACAAAGCUAAGCAGCACAUCAGGGAACCGUUCCGGGUGACCGUGCACGGCUACUGCGCGGGCCCCGGGCCCCUCCUUGCGUGCCUGUGGCCUUUACAGGCGCAGCUGAGUGCCAGGGGCCAGAGGAGCGUCAGUCAUCUCUGCUACUGACCACCGUUUCACUGUGCCAAAGACGAAAAAUAUAUAUAUUGUUGGGUUUUAUGAUUAAAUUAUUUAUAUAUUUUUGAAACCCGAAUGGAAAAUGUUGCAGGCGACGGUUGUGGCUUUACUGUCUGUUGGGUCAUUUCUUAAGUGUGUUCUCGUUAGGCCGGGUGGCUUCUUCCAAGCAAGAGCUAACCGUUAUGUUUGUGGGGUGCCAGGAUCACUGCCACCUGAAAGCAAGUGUGAUUUUUACUUUUAAUAUUAUUUUAUUUGUGUCUGUACAUACUCACGUAUAAGUUUUAUGAAACCCCGGCAUAGUGCUCAUUUUUUAAUAAAACUGACAACUGACUUCAGCACUUUGUGGUGAUGGGUUGGAGACGGAGGUUUGUACCCCCCUCCCAAAUAAUCUCAGGUUUGACUCUUAAACUCCUUGUGGAGUUCAAACUGUUUUCCUGAAUAAUUCCGUAAAGGCAGAUGCUGUGGGUUUCAUUACCCGGCACAUCACUGUAGGAAUCUGCAGGAUCCAAGUUCCAUCAGUGGGGUUUCUUAAACGUCAAAGCAAUGACCUCCAAAAAUUCACUUAAGUUACCAGAACAAACGAUAACGUGUGGGCCCGCCUUCCCCAAGAACCUCUGGGGACAAGUUCAGCUGUUAACCAUCUUAGCCUCAAGCAGAUAUUGGGUAAACUGGUUCUGAUCACACUCAAAACUGUGAUCUUGGCAAGGUACUUGUCUUGACACUGAAGAUUUCCUCAGGGAAAUUUUUUUUUAAUUAUUUGUUUAUUUGACUGUGUCUUAGUUGUGGCAUAUAGAAUCUAGUCCCCUAACCAGGGGUCAAACCUGGGCCCACCGCAUUGGGAGCUUGGGUCCUAGCCACUGGACCCCCAGGGAAGUACUUCAAGGAAGCUUUAAGAACACUUUGAAAGCCAGUGUUUUUUGUGUCUAAACAAAACCUCCCACCUAUUUAGGAAUGCAGAGGAGGUUCUAGCUCCUUCUGAUCUGCAGGGAAGAGCCA
RNAcentral lists this long non-coding RNA (1501 nucleotides) under Capra hircus (goat). Its description in RNAcentral is "lncRNA (ENSCHIG00010029789.1)". Lineage: Eukaryota; Metazoa; Chordata; Mammalia; Artiodactyla; Bovidae. The record is from RNAcentral.